GAUCCUACGGGGCGCAGCAGUGGGGAAUAUUGGUCAAUGGGCGCAAGCCCGAACCAGCCAAGUCGCGUGAGGGAUGACGGUCCUAUGGAUUGUAAACCUCUUUUGUCGGGGAACAAGGCCCGCCACGUGUGGCGGGAAGGAGAGUACCCGAAGAAAAAGCAUCGGCUAACUCCGUGCCAGCAGCCGCGGGAAUACGGAGGAUUCAAGCGUUAUCCGGAUUUAUUGGGUUUAAAGGGUGCGUAGGCGGGUCGAUAAGGUAGAGGUGAAAUACCGGGGCUCAACUCCGGAACUGCCCCUGAUACUGU
This 305-nucleotide ribosomal RNA is filed under the name uncultured bacterium. RNAcentral describes it as "bacterial SSU rRNA". It matches the Rfam family "Bacterial small subunit ribosomal RNA", at positions 335 to 636 of the family's 1533-position model. The record is from RNAcentral.